CCGACUCCGCCGCCGGUCGUUCUUUGACCGCCGCUUUGCAGUCACAGACAACGAUCGUAUCUAGCUGGCUUGCUUGUCCUCUCGUUGAAUGCUCCUUGGACAGAUCUUUCCAGACCUACCUGUCGAGACGAAUCUGUUGACGAGUCCGAGCGCCGAUACCUGUCGUCACGCCAAGUGAAAGGGAAUUUGAGGCUUCCCAUCGCAGAUACACACCGAGACGACACUGAAGCUUUUAGAACGUCUUGUGAACAUCAUUCUUACCGUUUUUUUCUCGCAAGAACGCUACAGCAAACAUACCAAAUAUGAGAGCUAUAUUGUGCGUAUGCGCCUUGGCGCUCUUCUGUGAGGCAGCCAUUGGUAUGCCCUACGUCGAUGCGGACGACGAAUUCGACGAUGCCCUGAUGACCAAACGGGUCGUGGACAUCUUGUCUCCAUCCUCACACUACCUGGACAAGCGGGACUUCUGCCAAUCAGACUGCUCUUUCUGUGCCAAAUUCCUCACCGACAUGAUCCUUGAUGCCUGUGUCAGUGGUUGCCGGGGCUCGACUGACAGCCCCGACCGUCAGAUGUGGUUCAUGUGCGCCCCGUACAUUGACUAGAUAGAGACUUCCCACUGGUAACUCUAAUUAUACACACGUCUAGGAGACAGGACAUAGUAACCUUCCCCUUAUCAAUAUUGACUGACAAAAUAUUGCCCUACCCUUUACUUUAGCCUGAAUACGCUACCGCUAAAUAAUGCUACCAAAUUCGAAACAUUUUUUGUGGAGUCUCUUGUACAGGGUGAGUUAAAAAGAAAGUUACCCAAAUUAAAUAUUUUUUUUAUAUUAAAGAGCAGUCAAAUUUUACACAACAAUGAAUGAAACGUCCACGUUGCAUUGCACUCAAUAGGCGUUCAUCGGUUCCUAGAAGCGCAAAUGAUCAGUGGUGAAAAGCCGAGUUUUGUGAUUUUUUUUUAUUGAAUCAAUAAAUAGAGUAUGCAAAUUACGUGAAAUUUUCAAAGUAAAAAGUCAUUUAAUAAGCUGUACUUUAUCCCUGUGAUGCUAGGUGUGAAAUGGAGCAAGCCACAUAUUUUACAAAUAUUUUUCGAAUUGGGUAGCUUUCUUUUUGACUCACCCUGUAUACUCAUAUAUACAAGCUACAUAGCUUUACGGCUGUUUUGAUGUACAGAAUUUGGAGAUCCACAACCUAACCAGAAGCAAGUGUUUUUUUACCUCCGCAAAUGAUUGAAAAGUUUAGGCCUAUGUGGGAAUUUCUGUCCACGACUGUACUGGUUGAGUAUUAAAAUUGGAAUAUGGUUAUAUAAAGAUUCUUUUGCGAAGGACAAAUCUUUCUCAAAGCUUGACGAGUUAUUAUUCUAAUACGUCUUAUUCUAAGACUGCUUUUUGCCAAUUUGUGGUUUUCUUUUCACCUUGAAAUAAAGAAAGCAUUUCCCCAGUUUAUUGUUAAACAGAGAUUCGGAGCACAAAUUUAGUGUAGGUUUUAAAGAUUCUUUAAAAUACCUAUGGAUUUCAUGAAGUGAACAAAUAAAAAUAUAAUAAAUGAAUAUAAUUUAACAUUAAUGUUACCUUA
Patiria miniata (bat star) is the source of this 1569-nucleotide long non-coding RNA. RefSeq lists it as uncharacterized. NCBI's taxonomy places the organism in Eukaryota, Metazoa, Echinodermata, Asteroidea, Valvatida, Asterinidae. The record is from RefSeq and is a predicted model, not a curated record. The transcript has 4 exons.